CGCCCGUAGUUGGAUCAGCGGAUUUGGAGAACGGUCUGCCGAUGGGCUGUACUGUUCUCCUGUCCUAUUUUCUCUAGUUCGCUCUAGGUGCUCUUCACUGAGUGUCUAGAGUGGCUGGAACUUUUACUUUGAAAAAAUUAGAGUGCUCAAAGCAGGCGUCUCAGCCUGAAUAGUGGUGCAUGGAAUAAUGGAAUAGGACCUCAGUUCUAUUUUGUUGGUUUUCGGAACAUGAGGUAAUGAUUAAGAGGGACAGACGGGGGCAUUCGUAUUGCGACGUUAGAGGAGAAAUUCUUGGAUCGUCGCAAGACGAACUACUGCGAAAGCAUUUGCCAAGAAUGUUUUCAUUAAUCAAGGACGAUAGUUAGAGGUUCGAAGGCGAUCAGAUACCGCCCUAGUUCUAACCGUAAACGAUGUCAACCAGCGAUCCGCAGGAGUUAUUCAUGACUCUGCGGGCAGCUUCCGGGAAACCAAAGUUUUUGGAUUCCGGGGGGAGUAUGGUUGCAAAGCUGAAACUUAAAGGAAUUGACGGAAGGGCACCACCAGGAGUGGAGCCUGCGGCUUAAUUUGACUCAACGCGGGGAAACUCACCCGGCCCGGACACCGUAAGGAUUGACAGAUUGAGAGCUCUUUCCUGAUUCGGUGGGUGGUGGUGCAUGGCCGUUCUUAGUUGGUGGAGCGAUUUGUCUGGUUAAUUCCGAUAACGAACGAGACUCUAGCCUACUAAAUAGAAGGCAAAUUAUUCGUUUGCUGUACUUCUU
Molecule: ribosomal RNA, 758 nt
Filed under: uncultured Rhabdolaimus
Lineage: Eukaryota; Metazoa; Nematoda; Enoplea; Enoplida; Rhabdolaimidae
Description: SSU rRNA
Rfam family: Eukaryotic small subunit ribosomal RNA
Source: RNAcentral